RNAcentral lists this ribosomal RNA (486 nucleotides) under Escherichia coli. Its description in RNAcentral is "bacterial SSU rRNA". It matches the Rfam family "Bacterial small subunit ribosomal RNA", at positions 127 to 608 of the family's 1533-position model. Lineage: Bacteria; Pseudomonadati; Pseudomonadota; Gammaproteobacteria; Enterobacterales; Enterobacteriaceae. The record is from RNAcentral.
UGCCUGAUGGAGGGGGAUAACUACUGGAAACGGUAGCUAAUACCGCAUAACGUCGCAAGACCAAAGAGGGGGACCUUCGGGCCUCUUGCCAUCGGAUGUGCCCAGAUGGGAUUAGCUUGUUGGUGGGGUAACGGCUCACCAAGGCGACGAUCCCUAGCUGGUCUGAGAGGAUGACCAGCCACACUGGAACUGAGACACGGUCCAGACUCCUACGGGAGGCAGCAGUGGGGAAUAUUGCACAAUGGGCGCAAGCCUGAUGCAGCCAUGCCGCGUGUAUGAAGAAGGCCUUCGGGUUGUAAAGUACUUUCAGCGGGGAGGAAGGGAGUAAAGUUAAUACCUUUGCUCAUUGACGUUACCCGCAGAAGAAGCACCGGCUAACUCCGUGCCAGCAGCCGCGGUAAUACGGAGGGUGCAAGCGUUAAUCGGAAUUACUGGGCGUAAAGCGCACGCAGGCGGUUUGUUAAGUCAGAUGUGAAAUCCCCCGGG